GUCCUGAUGUGAUUUCAUAAUUCUGCAAACAUCAUAAAAGGUACUUACACAAAAUGAGAUGGUACAGCUUGCUACGUAUCUAGGCUAUAUUGUAUAGCCUACUGCUCCUAGGCUACAAACCUGUACAGCAUGUUACUGUACUGAAUACUACUCACUAAAAAACCAUUUCUUCACCGGGCACGGUGGCUCAUGCUUGUAAUCCCAGGACUUUGGGAGGCCAAGACCAGCGGAUCACCUGAGGUCAGGAGUUCAAGACCAGCCUUACCAACAUGGAGAAACCCCGUCUUUACUAAAAAUACAAAAUUAGCCAGGUACAGUGACACAUGCCUGUAAUCCCAGCUACUCGGGAGGCUGAGGCAGGAGAAUCGCUUGAACCCAGGAGGCAAAAGUUGCGUGAGCCAAGAUAGCGCCAUUGCAUUCCAGCCUGGGCAACAAGAGCAAAACUCCAUCUCAAAAAACAAACAAACAAACAAACAAACAAAAAACAUCUCUUCAGCUUUGUCAUUUGGAAACAUUUAUUAUUGCACUGGAAGUAAAAUGACAAGAUUCUAUAUUUGGCCAGUUUCCCUCUCAUAACUCAAACUUCCCCUGCAUCUCAUUUUUUUCCAUGUGAAAAUGGAGAAAAAUAAUGCAAUAAUGUUUACAAACUGACACUGAGCACCUCCAAUGAAAGGUGCUGGCAAAUACAAACAUGAGGGGUGCAAAAAUACAAAACAAAACACCCACCACCACCCGCACUGAUCAUCCUGCACAAGUUACUUUUAUCCUUCUGAGCCUCAACAUCUCCCUCUGUAAAUUCAAAGAAACUGGCUAGAAUCGCAUAGGGUGGGGGAGGAUUUGUGGAGGAAAAGUAGGCAUAUAAUAGCUGAAAAAGCAUCGUAGUUGAUCCUCCUGAAUUCUCCAAAGAUCAUCUAUCCAGCUAUACACUUUGGGGGAGAGGAUAAAUUGGUACAACCCCCCAGAAACGGGUGGCAGUUUGGCUCCAUGUCUGCAAAUCAAAAAUGCAGACAUAUCCCUUGACCCAGUAAUUCUACUUCUAAAAGCAUAUUGUUCAGAUAACUUUGCAAAUGAGCACAUAACACAGUAUGUACAAGGACAUUCAUUGCUGUAAGAGAAGAACCUGGAAACAAAUAUUUAACCCAAAGAUGUUACAGUACAGCCAUACAACUAAAUAAGUAAAAGCAUGUCAACAGAAAGAACAAAUAACUCUCUAUAUAUGUUGAUAAUAGAAUGAUUUCCUAAAUAUGUUAAGUAAAAAAACCCAGUAAGGUGUGAGUGGUACGUCCCAUGGUGGGAGGAGUAUGGAUAAGCAGGCACAUAUUUAUAAAGCAACAGUGUCUAUGGAAGGCCAUAUAAACUGAAAACUUCAGCCAUCUCUGGGGAGGAGGUUAGGGAGACAGGAGACUUGGGGCCAGGGUAGGAGGGACAUUUUUCUCUAUAUACUCUUUUGUAUUGCUAGAACUUUUGAAUUUUUCUCUCAUCUGCAUUAAUUAUCUUUUCCCAAAAUUGAGCAGGAUUCUCUCUACACCUUCCUCUGGGUCUAAGAGGCUGUGACUCUACCUCUGUCAGACCCAACCAGUGCCUCCUAUAUUGCAGGGGCAUCUGCAUUUGGCCCUAUAUUGCCCCCAAAUGAUCUUUCCAAAAUUCUUUCAGCCCAAGUCCCUGACCUCCUUUAAAUCCUCUAGUAGCUCUCCAUUGUCCUUACCUGAUCCAGCUAUGAUUAACCUCUUCCCUCCUCCCCAAGGACAGUGGAUUCCUUCCACCACCAAGUUUGCUUGUGCUGCUCCCUCUUGCCUAUGUGUGCAGUCCACCACGCGCAAACUCCUAUGCAUCCUUCAUGAUCCGAAGGCCCCCCCGUCCCAGGAAAGCUUUCCCAAAUCACCCAGGCAGGGGAUGCUCCCUACACAGCCUGGCAGAGGCUCUGCAAAUACACGGCCAAAAUUCAAAUCUUGACUAUUCCCUCAUUUGCCCACUGUUUGGCCUCAGUUUCCAACCCUGUAGAGUAGGAAUAAGCCCUUUUAUGACUGUUGAAAAGACUGAGGGAAUUCAUGGAAAACAUUACAUAGCUUGUCACAAGGCAAAUAAAAAAUAGCUAUUAUUAUUAUCACAAUCUUAUAGCACCUGUGAUGUAUUUAUAUCCACCUGUCCUACAUUAGACUCUGAGUUCCUCAAAGGUUAAGGACUGACUUCCUCACUUUUGUAUCCCAAGCAAUUCACCUGGCAAAGGGAAGACACAUGAAUGUACUGAAGUCAGAGGGGUGGUUUUUCUGGUUCUGUAUUUCACCCAGAUGUUAAGUGGCUAAACAGAGAACAGGCCCCGGGAUCCCACCAUGCCUUACAAUGCACGGUAUCAGCCAGGUCACUUUGAGCAGGCAGAGGUGAAAAGAGACUGAAGGGCUUUUAGUCUUUCAGAGACAGUUUUUUGGAGGCCAGUGGGAUAUGGGACCUACCAGUUCCCACCUGCUGACUGCUUAUGGGGGCUGGGUGGGAUGGACAUGGGGAAGCCGGGAAUCAGAAAUACUAAAAGUCCUGGGCAUGUACUCCAAGCAGGCCUUCAAAACACGAAAAAAUCUCUUGGGAAGUGGAUACCGGGAAAUAAACAGAGCCUAGGCAUAAGAGAGAAGAGAUUGGAAAGAAUCUACAAGACAACUUGGAGGAUUCUCCCACCACGGGAGAUAGAAAGGUGGGCAAGACACAGCUCCUGCCCGCAAGAAGCUUCUCAAAUGAGAAGAACUUUAAAAGAAAAAGUGGAGCUUGGCAGGUAAAGGUGGGGAAGAAAGAGGAUCACAUAAAACAAAAACAUCCCAACAUGUGAGGGGGCAGUCAAGCAGCUCUGAAUACUAGCCAGCAAGCGGGAUGAGGGGAAGGAGAAUUGGAGGAUCCGAUUAGGCUAAAAGUAAAGGAGUAAAUUGAGGCAAGAUUGUCAAGGGCUUUGUAUGACCUGAUAAGGCAUUUUAGGCUUCAUUCAUCCCAUGGGAAAAAGAAAAGCGAGGGAGUUUUUAAGUAAACAAGUGACAGCAUCAGAUCUGUUUCUGAAAGGAGUGGCCAGGCAGGAAGAUGUUCGCCCUUUCCUAGUCAGUCCUCCUCUCGCCCACCAUCUUCUGUUUCUCAGGCUGCCUGCACAGCUAGCAGGUGGCAAACGAAGCCAUCUCCAGGGUGAUGUGGACUGGUUCUAGAGCCGGAAUCCCUCUCCUGAGCAAAGGCUUCUGAUGGCGUUCACCCUGCAGAGGGUGGAUUUGCACAUUCUUCUUUUCCUGUCUUACAAAUAUCAUCAGUGAUCUCAAAAAUAAAAACGAAACCCUCAAGACAGGACUCUGCUCUGCUAUUUUUUUUUUUUAAUCUUCAGGAGAUAUAAUUAGUAACUAAUUUUUUCAAAAAAAAUUUUUUAUUUACCGAAAGUAAAAAGGGAGGGGACCUGCGUUCUCAAUUGGCCUAUUCUGAAUUCUGGGCAGCUCUCAGCCCUUAUUUCCCUUCUUAAACAGCCUCAACAGUUGGGAGAGGGCGGCAAGGAGAGGGGCCUGGGAGACGGGCCGGGGGACCGAGGGAGGUGGACUUGAAGGGAAAGAAAAGUUGGUCACUGCAAAAGCAAAUUUUCUCAUGCCAAGAGUUUUCCUCUUUCCUCCCAUUAAAUGGACCUGAGCAAAUUCUGUUCUCGCCGUUCUAAGUUUCUUCUCUGAGAAUCAACUCUGGCAGUGCCCUGGCCUGGUCCCAGAAGGACGCA
This 3721-nucleotide long non-coding RNA is filed under the name Homo sapiens (human). Its description in RNAcentral is "HSALNT0399231". The record is from RNAcentral. Lineage: Eukaryota; Metazoa; Chordata; Mammalia; Primates; Hominidae.